GACGAACGCUGGCGGCGUGCUUAACACAUGCAAGUCGAACGGAAAGGCUCCAGCUUGCUGGAGUACUCGAGUGGCGAACGGGUGAGUAACACGUGGGUGAUCUGCCCUGCACUUCGGGAUAAGCCUUGGAAACUGGGUCUAAUACCGGAUAGGACCGCACUUUGGUGUGUGUGGUGGAAAGGUUUUUCUGGUUUGGGAUGAGCUCGCGGGCUAUCAGUUUGUUGGUGGGGUAAUGGCCUACCAAGACGUCGACGGGUAGCCGGCCUGAGAGGGUGGACGGUCACAUUGGGACUGAGAGACGGCCCAGACUCCUACUGGAGGCAGCAGUGGGGAAUAUUGCACAAGGGGGGAAACCCGGAUGCAGCGACGCCGCGUGGGGGAUGAAGGCCUUCGGGUUGUAAACUCCUUUCGCUAGGGACGAAGCUUUUUGUGACGGUACCUGGAGAAGAAGCACCGGCUAACUACGUG
RNAcentral lists this ribosomal RNA (468 nucleotides) under uncultured bacterium. Its description in RNAcentral is "partial 16S ribosomal RNA". It matches the Rfam family "Bacterial small subunit ribosomal RNA", at positions 28 to 507 of the family's 1533-position model. The record is from RNAcentral.